This 205-nucleotide long non-coding RNA is filed under the name Lathyrus oleraceus (garden pea). Its description in RNAcentral is "Pisum sativum (pea) long non-coding RNA (PSAT_LNC007684)". Lineage: Eukaryota; Viridiplantae; Streptophyta; Magnoliopsida; Fabales; Fabaceae. The record is from RNAcentral.
AAUAUUCUUAAACCAAUUAAAACAAAGGAGAAAAGAGAAAAUUCAUAAAAAUAAGAAAAUCAGUGAAAUAAAAUAUGGAAAAAUAAAAAUCAAAUGAAGAAGAAUAAAAGAGAAUUUUAGAAAUUAUUUUGGAAUUUUUUGGAUGAAAAAUGAAAUUACUAUGAAUUUUCAAAUAAAAAGCAAUUAAAAAUAAUAAAAGAAAAAU